GCCUGGAUGAGGGACGAAGCGAGGAGGGGAUUGUGUGGAGCCGGCGAGCUUUGGGAGUUGCUGUGAGGGGUUAUGGGCUUGUUGGGGAGGUCUGGAAGCCUCUGGAUCUUCUCUUCCUCCGUCGGCUGGGGGUGACCAGUUUCCAGUACAAGCCUUCAAGAGACAGCUGCUGUAAUUUUGAAUUCCUUUGGAAGAUGUGCCAUUCCAGAUAAACAUCAGUUGCAUCCCCACUGCUAAUUAUGCAGGGGUGUAGGAAUCCGGGAUAUAGCUCUCUAUUGUGCACCACCUGUUGGUAGGACUGCUCUCUGUAUCAGCGACUCGAGCUGGUGAAUACACAAAAAAUAUGCAGUCUGUAACUGUGGCAGUUUUGCACAGAGAAGUCAUGGGGAUGGUAGGGUCAGAGGACAUAAAGUUCCUGUAAAGUCUAAAAGGAAAGUGAAACGUGGAUGGAGAUGGAGAUGGAGCAAUGAGCACUGAAAACAAUUGAUCGCAUCUCUGCUACAGAAGAGGGAUAAGAGCAAAUGGAAACUGAUGAGCUCAGUGACUUGGUGUAUGAGAGGGUGAGUGUUUUGUGAAGCUGAGAGCUACCAACCAUGUCUGGACUGGAAGCUCCAGGGUCAAUGUAAGCUUCUUUGUAGCUGAAAGGAGGAGAGAAACCAGCUUUUGCCAAGGGCAUCUGCUGAGAUUCUCAAGCACAGAAGAUACUGACAGUGGGAAGUGCGCAGUUGAAAGGUACAACUGGGAACAAAACCAGCUCAGCUGGGAAGCAGGCAGAGGCGUCUGGGUUUGGGCUGCUUGUAUUACAUCUUACUCAGAAAGCAGUUUCCGCUAGAAAUUCAUAUAUUAGAGGACGUUCAUGCUAGUCAAAGCUGCAUUGCAGGGUUUAAACUCAGCCAUGUAGCAGUCUACACAAAUGGAAAGGAGGACAAUACUCUGCCUUGCAGAGAUGUCUGCUCAAGGGGCACCCCGAGGGAGAUGGCAGGAAAGGCACGAAGGGGUGUGAGAAGCUAUCGUAUGACUAAUUGCUGUUUGCAGCUGUGGAUAGACACGUGUUUAAUUAUCUGCUACAUGCAUGCAAAUUUCAUUUGCAGUCACUAGAGCCCAGGUGUUCCCUGGCAUAAUACAAAGUACAACAAACAAAAGGAAAAGGUUUGGAGAGCCAACUAAGAGGGGCUAGGAGGGGCAGCUUCAUGCUGUAUUCCUUCCUACUGUAUGCUAGGCUUGUCCUGCCAUUUUUCUGACUUCCAAGUGUAGAUUUGUACAUCCAUAGAGAGAGAUGAAGCCUGUGAACAGCCACUGCCAGCAGCUCACAGCCCAGGCCACUAGCAGGGGCUGAGGUGGAAUGAACGGGGUUGAGCACCCAGCAGUAACUUGGAAGGGAGCAGGGGCUGGGCUCCUGGCUGCCUCCACACGGCCUGCAACUGUCCAGCAGAGCAGCACUUCUCUGUGUUCCUGGCUUGCUUUUCUCCUCAAGGCAUUUCCCUUGGUAGGGGUACCUCCUCUCCUAGCAGUCUUAAGGCUCACCUUUCCUUCGCCUUUCUUUCUUCUUCAUCACAAGUCCUAUUCCACUGUCUAGGCUCGCAUCUGUUCUUACUGCUUUUUUUUUUUCCACUGCUAAGAAGUCAGUAUUUUAUCACAGAAAUAGACUUGAACAUUCAUUUAACUCUUUGUAGGAAAAUGCUUUUUGUAAGAUCUACACAUUGCAUUCCCAACACUCAGAAACAGGAGUCCAGACAAACAGGGCUACUGCCUUCUUCUGUCAGCCCUUAUCAGGGACAUCCAUUUGGUGUAUUUUUGGAACACAAAGAUAAAAACAAAGAUAAAUCUACAGAAGACUGGACCACAGUGCCCUGAAUUUCUUUACAUCACUGGAGAAAGAUGCUGAAGUUGUUUAAAUGAGGAAACCACAAAGAGAAUGCUCCCAUUAUCAUUUGGCUGCUUUUUUAUAAUUGUAAUAAAUGGGAACUCACUGGACUUGGUGUCAUCCACCUGAGGUAACAUGCUCCCAUUGAAUCUAAUACAAAUUAACUGGAGAAGAAUCCUUUGCUCUUGAUACUUACACAGGCUGCCACAGAGGAGAAGUGGUUCUGCAGCAUCUGCAGACAGAAGGGGUCCCCCCUCAUGUGCCAUCCUCUGCUUGCUUAAAGACCUCAACCCCACUCGCUUUCACCCCAUCUGAUUCCUGCAGAGUAGCUCUGUAGCUGAGAACCCUCUGCACCAUGGAGUUGCUGUAGAAGAUAAGGACUGCAGGACUUUGCGUGAAGAGUUUUCUGACAGCCAUCCCACCCCAAGACCUGCAGCUACAAGUACAAGGACAGAGAAAGGAGAAGCCCUGUCAAGUUUAUUUGGGCCAACUCUGUAUUUAGAAAUCCACCAUGGAUCAUGAUCAGGUGCAAAGAUGUGAAUAUCAAAGAACACAGUCUGGCUGUUUUCAUCCUGCAGUUCUCAAGUGUGAAUUGCAGAAUGUGCAACUACUGCUCAUAAUCUAACUUGCCUUCAUUUAAUCAGAAAGAAAAUCAAUGGAAGAAACGUUUGGCUAAGAAGCUUACAAGAAAAAAUUCUGAGGUUUUUAGAUGACAGAAUUCUAAGAAGCAACAAUGACGGACUGCUGCUUAUCCAGACAAACCAGAUCCUUAAAGCUACAGAACUACUUGUAUAAAGCAAGCUGGAUUUAGGUGUCUGAAAAAAGGACAAGAAAUACUGGAUUAAAAUAACCAGGCAAGAAAAUGGAUGGCCUU
Meleagris gallopavo (turkey) is the source of this 2738-nucleotide non-coding RNA. The record is from RefSeq and is a predicted model, not a curated record. Lineage: Eukaryota; Metazoa; Chordata; Aves; Galliformes; Phasianidae.